Molecule: long non-coding RNA, 488 nt
Organism: Oreochromis aureus
Lineage: Eukaryota; Metazoa; Chordata; Actinopteri; Cichliformes; Cichlidae
Exons: 3
Source: RefSeq, a predicted model, not a curated record
CCGGGAGAGAGGGUUUCCUGACUCUCAGAGAUGUCGCCACUUCUCAAAGACCAUUGGAAAUCCUUUUAGAAAGACUUCAGUUACUUGUUGCCUUACAGUAAGACCACCAGAGCACACGCAGCAGGAGACGAGAGAACAGCACCCAGACAGUUACUACAUAAACUCAAACUCUCCUAGUCUUUGUCACUUUAAGUUCAUCAGAAAGUCACAGCGAGCGUCAGAGCGGAAAAAUGAGUUUUGUGAGAAAUCCCCCCGAUUUACUCCGACACCUAUGCCUCAGUUCAUCAUGUGAAUACUGCUCGUCACCGCAGUGCUCACACGCCACACCUGCAGAGAGACGAAACACUUCAAUACCCCGAGGAGAUUUUCCUUCUUCAUCCCAAAGAAUCAAAUCCUUAGCAAAGGAUUUAUGGAAAAACCCUGAAUGCAGAAUCCUGGUUGUACACAACAGGAGUGCAAUCCCACACAGCAGCACCCGAUCAGCAUCA